Molecule: small nuclear RNA, 107 nt
Organism: Macaca mulatta (Rhesus monkey)
Lineage: Eukaryota; Metazoa; Chordata; Mammalia; Primates; Cercopithecidae
Source: Ensembl
UUGCUCACUUCGGCAGCACAUAUACUAAAAUUGAAACGAUACAGAGAAGGUUAGCAUGGCCCCUGUGCCAGGAUGACAUGCAAAUUCGUGAAACAUUCCAUAUUUUU